UACGUAGGUGGCAAGCGUUGUCCGGAUUUACUGGGCGUAAAGGGUGCGUAGGCGGACAUUUAAGUCAGAUGUGAAAUACCCGAGCUUAACUUGGGUGCUGCAUUUGAAACUGGGUGUCUAGAGUGCAGGAGAGGUAAGUGGAAUUCCUAGUGUAGCGGUGAAAUGCGUAGAGAUUAGGAAGAACACCCGUGGCGAAGGCGGCCCACUGGGCCGGUGCUGACGCUGAGGCGCGAAGGCGUGGGGAGCGAACGGG
This 253-nucleotide ribosomal RNA is filed under the name uncultured bacterium. RNAcentral describes it as "partial 16S ribosomal RNA". It matches the Rfam family "Bacterial small subunit ribosomal RNA", at positions 524 to 776 of the family's 1533-position model. The record is from RNAcentral.